UUUCCGUAGGUGAACCUGCGGAAGGAUCAUUAUUGAAUAAACAGUGUGGGUUGUUGCUGGCCUUCUGGCAUGUGCACGCCUGCCAUAUGUUUCAUUCCCUUCUUUCCACCUGUGCACUAUGUGUAGGCUAUGUAUGCUGUAUUGUCAGGCCCUUCAUAAGGCUUGGUUUAGAGAGGAUGCUUGUCUUAUGAGACAGGCUCAUCUUGGGCGUACAGGUCUAAGUUUUACACCAACACCAAAUGAAUGUCUUAGAAUGUAUUUUUUCAGGCUCUUGCUAGCCUUUAAACCAUAUACAACUUUCAACAACGGAUCUCUUGGCUCUC
This 323-nucleotide unclassified non-coding RNA is filed under the name plant metagenome. RNAcentral describes it as "partial contains small subunit ribosomal RNA, internal transcribed spacer 1, and 5.8S ribosomal RNA". The record is from RNAcentral.